GUGCCAGCAGCCGCGGUAAUACGUAGGGGGCAAAGCGUUGUCCGGGAAAUUAUUGGGGCGUAAAGCGCGCGCAGGCGGUCAUUUAAGUCUGGUGUUUAAUCCCGGGGCUCAACCCCGGAUCGCACUGGAAACUGGAUGACUUGAGUGCAGAAGAGGAGAGUGGAAUUCCACGUGUAGCGGUGAAAUGCGUAGAGAUGUGGAGGAACACCAGUGGCGAAGGCGACUCUCUGGGCUGUAAUCUGACGCUGAGGCGCGAAAGCGUGGGGGAGCAAACAGGAUUAGAUACCCUGGUAGUCC
RNAcentral lists this ribosomal RNA (297 nucleotides) under uncultured microorganism. Its description in RNAcentral is "partial 16S ribosomal RNA". It matches the Rfam family "Bacterial small subunit ribosomal RNA", at positions 505 to 796 of the family's 1533-position model. The record is from RNAcentral.